AACACUAUAGUUUAAUAGGAAAAACGAUUGCUCUGCAAGCUUUAGUUUCAGGUUCGAAUCCUGAUAGUGUUU
Molecule: transfer RNA, 72 nt
Filed under: Flavobacterium sp. 9AF
Lineage: Bacteria; Pseudomonadati; Bacteroidota; Flavobacteriia; Flavobacteriales; Flavobacteriaceae
Rfam family: tRNA
About the family: Transfer RNA (tRNA) molecules are approximately 80 nucleotides in length. Their secondary structure includes four short double-helical elements and three loops (D, anti-codon, and T loops). Further hydrogen bonds mediate the characteristic L-shaped molecular structure. tRNAs have two regions of fundamental functional importance: the anti-codon, which is responsible for specific mRNA codon recognition, and the 3' end, to which the tRNAs corresponding amino acid is attached (by aminoacyl-tRNA synthetases). tRNAs cope with the degeneracy of the genetic code in two manners: having more than one tRNA (with a specific anti-codon) for a particular amino acid; and 'wobble' base-pairing, i.e. permitting non-standard base-pairing at the 3rd anti-codon position.
Source: Rfam by way of RNAcentral